Molecule: long non-coding RNA, 566 nt
Filed under: Helianthus annuus (common sunflower)
Lineage: Eukaryota; Viridiplantae; Streptophyta; Magnoliopsida; Asterales; Asteraceae
Source: RNAcentral
GGUUUCUUCUUCUCUUUAUCGAUCUUACUCUCGAUUACCAUUUGUGUUCGUAUCAAUGGUAUCAGAGCUAUCGUCCUCUUGACUGUGGGUUAGGGCAACAAACAUUUCCUUUCAUUGCAAUUAGGCUACAACAAACGAAUCAAGAACAAACGAUUAGGCGAUUAGGGCAAGAAGCGGUAUUCAGCAACACACAAACGAAGACUUACAAACAAAAACAUCAGCGAUUCAGCAGCAACAACAAAUCAAGAACAAGCGAUUACAUGGAAUUUGUUGCGGGCGAGAUUAUGGCACUGAGCCAAGAAGGUCAAGUCCAAACUUUACCUUUAGUUACCAGACAACAUGCUUUGGGUUAUCAGAUCAAGAAAAUAUACGUCCAAUAAAUAAGAAUAGAAAGAAGAAGGCAAUGGCACAUAUGUGGCACAAAUGGAAAUCCAAAUUUCCAUUUCUCAUUAUGAUCGUGAACGGUUGUUGUUCGAACAGGUUGGCAAAGAUGUACAUGUGGCACAUAUGGAAAUCUAAACUGUGGUUCUACAUUUUGACCCCAUAUGGCAGGUUUUUCAUUAUUA